ACGAUCUUUCCUAACGAGGGCGGGGAGAUUGGGCUGCGCCUCUGGGCCGUAAGGGACUCUUCUGUGGGCUUCCCCCACUUCCCGCAAAAUAGUUCUCCCAAAAUAGCUUGAAUCCAAGCAGCUGCCUCAAGGUACACCAAGCCUUCUGAGCUGUCAUGUUGCC
This 163-nucleotide long non-coding RNA is filed under the name Mustela putorius furo (domestic ferret). RNAcentral describes it as "lncRNA (ENSMPUG00000029091.1)". Lineage: Eukaryota; Metazoa; Chordata; Mammalia; Carnivora; Mustelidae. The record is from RNAcentral.